UACGUAGGGUGCUAGCGUUGUUCGGAAUCAUUGGGCGUAAAGCGCGUGUAGGUGGCUGUUUAAGUUGUAUGUGAAAUGCCUGGGCUCAACCGAGGAACUGCAUACAAAACUAGACAGCUAGAGGACGGUAGAGGGAGGUGGAAUUCCUAGUGUAGAGGUGAAAUUCGUAGAUAUUAGGAGGAAUACCUGAGGCGAAGGCGGCCUCCUGGGCCGUUCCUGACACUGAGACGCGAAAGCGUGGGGAGCAAACAGG
This 253-nucleotide ribosomal RNA is filed under the name uncultured bacterium. RNAcentral describes it as "partial 16S ribosomal RNA". It matches the Rfam family "Bacterial small subunit ribosomal RNA", at positions 524 to 776 of the family's 1533-position model. The record is from RNAcentral.